GACGAACGCUGGCGGCGUGCUUAACACAUGCAAGUCGAACGCUAAGGCCCUGCCUUGGUGUUGUGCUUGAGUUGCGAACGGGUGAGUAACGCGUAAGUAACCUGCCUUUUACUUUGGGAUAACUUUUGGAAACUGUAGCUAAUACCGCAUAACAGUACCUGUUGCAUGAUGUUUGUUGGAAAGUUUCGGUGGUUGGGGUUGGACUUGCGGCUUAUUAGCUUUUUGGUGUGGUAGUGGUUUACAAAGGCGUGGACGGGUAGCCAUACUGAGAGGGUGACCGGCCACAUAGGGACUGAGAAACGGGCAAGACUGAUACGGGAGGAAGGAGUGGGGAAUAGAGCAAAAAGGGCGGAAGGAGGAAGGAGGAACGUCGCGUGGGGGAGGACGGCCGUAAGGGUAGAAAGAGUUUGCGCGUGUAAAGAAGAGUGAGUGACGGUAAUGGAUAAGGAAGCAACGGCUAACUACGUG
RNAcentral lists this ribosomal RNA (468 nucleotides) under uncultured bacterium. RNAcentral describes it as "partial 16S ribosomal RNA". It matches the Rfam family "Bacterial small subunit ribosomal RNA", at positions 28 to 507 of the family's 1533-position model. The record is from RNAcentral.